GGAAAACCACGGACCUGAAAAAGUGUCCUGCUUUGGAUAAUUUAUAUGGCCACUCCUGUAAGAAAAGGAACAGAUUUUCAAAUCCUACUUCAUGUGGUUCCAGAAUCUCUGCUUUUUGCCUCUUUCUCAUCCUCUGUGAGUGCAAUUGUGGCUUUCCUCAUCAGGCGCUGGGCAGUAGCCCUGGGUGAGGUAGGAGGAUGUGGGUCCUGGACGAUAAACGGCUGCUCCCCAGAACCUAGAGCACUUCCGCAGGGAGAGAAUUUCACAGCUCAUUGACUGCUCUGACUCCUAAUCUACACCGAGGAAACAAUGUUGCAGCUCAUCAAAUGCAAUCAGCUGCUAAUUGAAAGGAAAUGGAAUUUUACAAUUACAGGCCACCUUUCAGUGCUCAGGAUUUCUAAGCACUUCUCCCCACCUUCCUUUGCCAGCUCAGCACUGGCAGGAGCACUUGACAACCUGCUAGAGACUUCCCUAAAAGCUGCAUUUAGGACCUGGCCCGUUCUCCCCAGCUCCAGAGCAGCAGCAAAGGGAAGCAGCGUCCUCGCCAAUACCUGGGCUGUCCUUCAAGGCUCAGUGCAAGGAAAAACACCUGGGUUGGACAUCAGGUAGUGCUGACUUCCAGACCACUGAGGUCACCUGCAUAAGCGAGUCUGGCAACAAAUAAUCGUCUUCCAGAAAAUGACCAGAAACUCAGCCUGCUUUUUGUCAUUUCACCAGCCCCACCAUCUUUCCUUUAUUCUAGAGCUCCUGGCACACUUACAUGAAUCUCUUGAAAGAAGAGAAAUGAGAGCAUUCAUUCCAUACUAAUACAAUUGUGCCCUAUGGAAAGGCUUUUUGCUGGCAGACAUAGUAGACGGACCAUUUCCCAACUUCUUUUUCUUUGCCACCUUCCAGCCAAAGGUGUCCAUAUGACACAGCUCUGGACAGGAUAAUUGGAAGUCUGUUGUGGGAUUUCUGAGAAAGCUUUUGAUUUUCUGACAGAGACAUUUUUGCUUCCCCUUACCACUUCCUACUGGAUUACAGAUGUGAUGGAAAGAGCUGCAGCAGCCAUAAUACAACCAUAAAGGAGAGGAGAAGAGAAUUGCAAAGGCAUCAACCCACAUUGAAUUGAACUGCUAAGUUAACACUAGCAGUUACUUGCCUCCAGAUAUCUUGGUGUGUGAGAACAUUAAAUCUGUAUGUGUCUAAAUCAGUAUGGGUGAACAUUUCUGUCACUAAAGUCAAAAGCAUCCCUGAAACAGUGCAUGAUUCCAUAUGACCCUUACCACAACCCUGGUAAAUAGGUAUAAUUAUCCUUCAUUUAAACAUGACGAAAUUAAAGUUGGGAGAAACUGACUAUACAAAAGUCAUUAAUCGUAUGAGUGGUAGAAUCAGG
This 1375-nucleotide long non-coding RNA is filed under the name Homo sapiens (human). RNAcentral's name for it is "HSALNT0361577". The record is from RNAcentral. Lineage: Eukaryota; Metazoa; Chordata; Mammalia; Primates; Hominidae.